GACGAACGCUGGCGGCGCGCCUAACACAUGCAAGUCGAACGAGCGAGAGAGAGCUUGCUUUCUCAAGCGAGUGGCGAACGGGUGAGUAACGCGUGAGGAACCUGCCUCAAAGAGGGGGACAACAGUUGGAAACGACUGCUAAUACCGCAUAAGCCCACGGAACCGCAUGGUUCUGGGGGGAAAGGAGCAAUUCGCUUUGGAAUGGACUCGCGUCCGAUUAGCUAGAUGGUGAGGUAACGGCCCACCAUGGCGACGAUCGGUAGCCGGACUGAGAGGUUGAUCGGCCACAUUGGGACUGAGACACGGCCCAG
This 311-nucleotide ribosomal RNA is filed under the name uncultured bacterium. Its description in RNAcentral is "bacterial SSU rRNA". It matches the Rfam family "Bacterial small subunit ribosomal RNA", at positions 28 to 334 of the family's 1533-position model. The record is from RNAcentral.